This 459-nucleotide ribosomal RNA is filed under the name uncultured eukaryote. RNAcentral's name for it is "bacterial SSU rRNA". It matches the Rfam family "Eukaryotic small subunit ribosomal RNA", at positions 353 to 812 of the family's 1831-position model. The record is from RNAcentral.
CGACGGGUAACGGGGAAUCAGGGUUUCGAUUCCGGAGAGGGAGCCCGAGAAACGGCUACCACUUCCAAGGAAGGCAGCAGGCGCGCAACUUACCCUAAUCUCGAUUCGAGGAGGUAGUGACAAGAAAUACCGAUGCGGGACCCUACGGGUGCCGCGUUCGGAAUGAGUACGAUUCGAACCACCUAACGAGGAACGAUCGGAGGGCAAGUCUGGUGCCAGCAGCCGCGGUAAUUCCAGCUCCAAUAGCGUACGUUAAAGUUGCUGCAGUUAAAAAGCUCGUAGUUGAACGUUCGGGUUCCGCGGGACGGGGCCGCCCCGCGAGGGACGGCGCCGCCCCGGGGCUCGUGAUAUCUUAUCUCGCCGCCCGUCGCGAGGCGGACGGAGGGAUGGAUGAGGUUACCUGGAAAAAAUCGGGGCGAUCUAGGCGGGCGAACCUCGCCAACGAACGAUCGGACAUGG